AGAAUGUUUAAGAACAAGUUUUCCAAUUUCCCAUACAUGCACUGUGCUCCCUGUGUUUCUGACUCAGGCACAGGGAGGGGAGAGCUGUGCACAGUGCUCAUGGAGUGCUGACUGGGAAUUAUGGAGGCGGGAACUGUGUGUGGUCCUCCAAGUGUGUGUUUGACCCAGAAGUAAAUUGGUGUUUCAUACAUGCCUACCAGUAUGAGUCUGAAACAGCUCAUUUCAGAUUUAAGCCAUGUUUGACAGUGGAGUGUUAAGCUCUCAGUACCUGUACCUAAUAUUCCAGGGCCAUCCAGCAGGGAACAAAGCCUUGUCAUUGUUCCUAUUAUAUAUGAUUCUUUGCCCGACUGCGCGUUCAGUGUCAACAGGCUGCUGCCCCUGCAAUAGGACUGGGAACUCUGUGGAAAGAAAUUUCAAAGGUCCGGAAUUAUUGCACUGUGCACGACUGUGCUCCUUUCCGGAUUUAAUCCAUGUUUUGCAGUCCUGCUGUAUAAGAUUCAAUGAAAAUUUUCAAUCAGGAGACGAAGGCUUGUCUGGGUUCCCACUGAAUGAGAUUUCGUGUCUUGCUGCUCAUCCAUCAGAAUUGAAGAUGGACUGUCACAGCUGCAACAUGACAAGGAACACAGUGGAAAGAGAUUGCUCGGCUGCCCUGGGUUCCCGUCUCCGUCUGUCGGCAGCUUAUCGGCCGGCCGCGCACGACAGCUCAACGGCCCGCCCCAGGGCACCAGAGUCACUCGGAAUCGGAGGACACUUUGAAGGAGUCUUGAACUAAGCUGUGCCCGUGGACCUGGUCCAAUCCUGAAGCCUGACCCCUCACUCCUCGUUCCACAUCAGACCUAAACAACACCCCUCUUCCUUCUGAAGAACCAAUCCCUCUUGACCUGGACCCAUGGGACCCUCUGGACAUUGUGGCCUUGGGCUGGCGCUCCCUCAGCAGCUUCCUCGAUGCCUGCACUUCUCUGGUAAAGUAGAAGUUGGCCCAGCACUCUAGAUCAGUGCGGGACAUCCAGACCAACUGGCUGUCUGGGACUGGAGUGGAAGAAGAAACCUGUCCUGUCAGCUGUUGGUUCAGGUUCUGCACCUGACACUCAGAACCUUUCGGGGGUGGUGGAGGGAAAUGGAAUUGAAGAUGGACUGUCACAGUUGCAACAUGACUUGGAACACAGUGGAAAGAGAUUGCUCGGCUGCCCCGGGUUCCCGUCUCCGUCUCUCUGCAGCCUAUCGGCCGGCAGCGCACGACAGCUCAACGGCCCGCCCCAGGGCACCAGAGUCACUCGGAAUCGGAGGACACUUUGAAGGAGUCUUGAACUAAGCUGUGCCCGUGGACUUGGUCCAAUCCUGGAACCUGACCCCUCACUCCUCGUUCGACAUCAGACCUAAACAACCCCCCUCUUCCUUCUGAAGAACCAAUCCCUCUUGACCUGGACCCAUGGGACCCUCUGGACAUUGUGGCCUUGGGCUGGCGCUCCCUCAGCAGCUUCCUCGAUGCCUGCACUUCUCUGGUAAAGUAGAAGUUGGCCCAGCACUCUCGAUCAGUGCGGGACAUCCAGACCAACUGGCUGUCUGGGACUGGAGUGGAAGAAGAAACCUGUCCUGUCAGCUGUUGGUACAGGUUC
Long non-coding RNA from Mobula hypostoma (lesser devil ray), 1616 nucleotides. RefSeq lists it as uncharacterized. The record is from RefSeq and is a predicted model, not a curated record. Lineage: Eukaryota; Metazoa; Chordata; Chondrichthyes; Myliobatiformes; Myliobatidae. The transcript is spliced from 4 exons.